AUUGAACGCUGGCGGCAUGCUUUACACAUGCAAGUCGAACGGUAACAGGCCGCAAGGUGCUGACGAGUGGCGGACGGGUGAGUAAUGCAUCGGAACGUGCCCAGUCGUGGGGGAUAACUACUCGAAAGAGUAGCUAAUACCGCAUACGAGCUAUGGAUGAAAGCGGGGGACCGUAAGGCCUCGCGCGAUUGGAGCGGCCGAUGUCAGAUUAGGUAGUUGGUGGGGUAAAGGCUCACCAAGCCAACGAUCUGUAGCUGGUCUGAGAGGACGACCAGCCACACUGGGACUGAGACACGGCCCAGACUCCUACGGGAGGCAGCAGUGGGGAAUUUUGGACAAUGGGCGCAAGCCUGAUCCAGCAAUGCCGCGUGCAGGAAGAGGGCCUUCGGGUUGUAAACUGCUUUUGUACGGAACGAAACGGCUCUGGUUAAUACCCGGGGAUAAUGACGGUACCGUAAGAAUAAGCACCGGCUAACUACGUG
RNAcentral lists this ribosomal RNA (482 nucleotides) under uncultured bacterium. RNAcentral describes it as "partial 16S ribosomal RNA". It matches the Rfam family "Bacterial small subunit ribosomal RNA", at positions 30 to 507 of the family's 1533-position model. The record is from RNAcentral.